This 253-nucleotide ribosomal RNA is filed under the name uncultured bacterium. RNAcentral's name for it is "partial 16S ribosomal RNA". It matches the Rfam family "Bacterial small subunit ribosomal RNA", at positions 524 to 776 of the family's 1533-position model. The record is from RNAcentral.
UACGGAGGGUGCAAGCGUUGUCCGGAAUCACUGGGCGUAAAGGGCGCGUAGGCGGCUCGGUAAGUCGGGGGUGAAAUCCUGCGGCUUAACCGCAGGGCUGCCUUCUAAACUGUCGAGCUUGAGCACGGUAGAGGCAGAUGGAAUUCCCGGUGUAGCGGUGGAAUGCGUAGAGAUCGGGAAGAACAUCAGUGGCGAAGGCGGUCUGCUGGGCCGUUGCUGACGCUGAGGCGCGAAAGCGUGGGGAGCAAACAGG